Long non-coding RNA from Tupaia belangeri chinensis (Chinese tree shrew), 451 nucleotides. RefSeq lists it as uncharacterized. The transcript is spliced from 3 exons. The record is from RefSeq and is a predicted model, not a curated record. Lineage: Eukaryota; Metazoa; Chordata; Mammalia; Scandentia; Tupaiidae.
AAACAUUGUUUUCUACCAAAAAAAAAAAAAAGAAAAAAAGAAAACAAAACCCCCCCCCAAAAAACAAGGUUCCCUGGAAUACUUGCUGAUUCUAGGACUGAGUAACAGAUAUAUAAGAAAAGCCUGAAAUAUCCUGUGAUGCCAGAAAGUAAGGAAGUGCUCAAAAAAAUGAAAGAGGCUGAUUGAAAGAACACAGGAGUCAAGAUGAAGAAGUUCCUGGUGCCCAAGGCUGAGAUAAUUUGAGCAACGAAAAUAUAAAGGGAACACAAAUCUGAAGAUGGACGCCAGAUACUUAAUAUAACUGUUUUAAGAAAGAAAAAGAUACAAUGACUUGAAGAGCUGAUAAAUCAUUAAAAUUUUUGUUUAAAUACAGCUGGUAACACGUAACUUCCACACAGCUGUAACAUCCCUUGAUAAACCUUGUAUCCCUUGUUCAGAGGAUUCCAUGGCC